CGUUGAAACACCGGUUCCCGUACGAUCACCGAAGUUAAGCAAUGUCAAGCCUGGUCAGUACCUAGAUGGGGGCACCGCUUAGCAAUACCAGG
Non-coding RNA from Acanthosepion pharaonis, 92 nucleotides. The record is from the annotation of a GenBank genome assembly. Lineage: Eukaryota; Metazoa; Mollusca; Cephalopoda; Sepiida; Sepiidae.